GUCCAUAUGAUCGUUUCGUUACUUUCCUAUGAAAAUAGAUUCAUCAAGGUUCGUUUACAUAAUUUAUUCACUAUUUAAUUCCAUUCCUACUAUUUUUAGUGAUUUUUCACAUCCACAUCACUGUUGCUUCCAGCAUCUGUUUUUAAGGUAAACUUUACCUAUUUCAUGAUCCUCCAUGGAUCAACUAGAGUUUGUCAUACAUAUUCCAAAGGUGAUCAAGAAUAACCCUUCCCAUGGCUAACCGUUACCAACAUUUCCAUACCUCUCGACGGACAACAUACAAAACGAUUAUAAUGCUAUGAUCAAAGUAUAUUUAAGCCAUUUUCGCAUGGCUAUCCAAAUUUACACAAAACCGAAGGGUACAUGACCAACAACAAAAGGGUAGUCCUAUACAUGCCAUUUUCAGAGUUCAACCAAAAGUGUACCAAAAGGGCUUUGAUAGUGUGGGCGACUUCGACUUCAAAAUCCCGAGUCCGAUAGCUGAAGAACCAAAAUCUAUAAAACAGAGAAUCAAAGAAACGGAGUAAGCAUUAAAUGCUUAGUAAGUUUUGAGCAAAGAGUUUAGACACAACCAAAGUAUAUCAUUCAUGUAGCUAAACGGAUAAUUUCAUAUGCACAAAUUUUCAAUAUCAUACUUACUUCACAUUACCAACCCUUAUGUUCAUACACAAAAGAUCAACUUAGCCAAAGGCCGGUAGCUCAUUUAUCAACUGAGCGAAUACUUAUUUGUAAGGGCUCAACUAAUUCAAAGCACAUACGAAACAUACCUCAAUGCUGGGAUGUUACAAGCGUAUUAACUGAAAUUUUUACAGCAAGAUCGUUCAUUCCCGAAUCACGUACCUUCAGAAUUUAACCGGAUAUAGCUACUCGUUCAAAUGCCUUCGGGACAUAGCCCGGUUAUAGUAACUCGCACAAAUGCCUUCGGGACUUAACCCGAAUUUAGUAACUCGCACCAAUGCCUUCGGGCUUAGCCCGAAAUUAGUAACUCGCACAAAUGCCUUCGGAUCUUAGUCCGGAUAUGGUCACUUAGCACAAAGCCUUCGGGACUUAGCCCGGACAUCAUUCGAAUAACCAUGCACAUUUAACAAUAAAUCAUGACACAUUCGAAUUUCAUUUUCAUUAGCAAAACUCAAACACAAGACACUUAUCACUCUUGCAAUUUCGGCUCAAUAGCCACACACAAAGAGCAUGAUUUUAAUUUGCUUAAAACAUGAUCUAAUCAAAUCAUAAUUUAAGCUCUAUUACUCAAGAACUUACCUCGGAUGUGGUCGAGCGAUUUCGACAGCUAUUCGAUCACUUUUUCCUUUCCCUUAUCCAACUGUGGUCCUCUAAGCUCUUGAGCUAAUUCAAACAAAUUUAACUCAUUAAAGUCUCAUUUUGCUAGCUUAUGGCCGAAUAUGACAAGGAGUUUGAUAGGUCAUAUGGCCACCUUUUAGCUCAAAUACACAAUGGUCAUACGCAUUUUUAAUCACAUCAAGCAAUUUAAUACAAUUCAUUCGAACAUCAAAAGAGAAGCUCAAGGUACUUAGCCCAUAUAUACAUUAGACAUUAGAGUCACAUAUGUACGAAAUCACGAAUCGAAUUCAACAUACUAGCUAAUAUUUCCCCUUAGCCGAAUUUUCUAAGUCAAGCUAAAGCCAUCAAUAGGCUACCUAUGGCCGAACAUACACAUAACUUAUGUACUUAUUCAUGUGGCCGAACAUACAUGUCUAUGUUGGGGCCGAUUGCAACACUUAAUACAUUCUACAAGUAUGGUCACUUGUAUUGACUAAACACCAUUUUGUUUCAAGUUCAAAACUUGGCUAAUACACACAUAUAUACACUAGUAAAGCAUCCUCUCCCUUUCCAUCAAUUUAACACAUGUAUUACUCAUUAAUAUACAAAAAUUAUAUUCGGCCUUAGCACACAACUUGCUAGCCGAUUCUUCUCCAUCUAGCAACCAAUGCACAUAUGUUCUCAUUCGUUAGACUUUACUUCAUCUAACAACAACCAUAUUUUUCCCUUCUACUUCCUACCAUGGCCGAAUGCAUCACAACACUAUACCAUUUUAAUUUUUGGUCAUGGUUAAACAAAGAACUUAAUGUCUCACUCAAAAAUGCUAAAAAUAAGAUUCAAGAAUCAUCAAUCCACCAUCACAUGCACCAUUACAAAGCUUCACUUUUAGCAUGCAAAUGAUAUCAACACAAAUCCACCUUAGCCGAAUAUCAUCUCCAUGACAUAGUAAAGAUUUGAACCAUGGGCUAGUUAGAACUCAAGCUAACUACUAAAAUAUACAUGAAUCUCAUGGAGCAACCUCAAACAUACCUUAGCCUAGUUACAUGCAUGGCCGAACCUCUUCAACAUUUCCUCCUUUCUUUCCUUUUGAAUUUCAGUCAAGGAUGUUCAAGGAUGAACACAGAUUUUUUUUUCUUUGUUUUCUUUCUUCCAUUCACGGCAAAGGGGGGGCAUGGAUGAGACCAUUUUUUUUUUCAUCACUCCUCCCUUUCAUUAUUUAAUUACCAUGCUCAUUAUUUUAUUGUUUCCUCCCAUGAUGCACCAACACAACAUGUCUAUGACAUGUUUUGCCCAUCACCCUUUGUCCAUCCUAAUGUCAUGGCCGGCCACUACUAGAUGGGGGGAAAAUUGACAUGCAAGUCCCCCCUUUUUCAACAUGCACUAAUAGGUCCUUAUGUUUUGAUCUAUCACAUUUCAAAAAUGUCACACAUAAGUCCUAUUGACUAAAUUCACAUGCAACUUACUAAAUAGAAGCUUAAAAUUUUCACACAUUUAUUUUAGACAAUAAAUAUCAUAUUCAAACAAUUUGGUGACUCAGUUUAGCGGUCCCGAAACCGCUUUCCUACUAGGGUCACUUUAGGGCUGUCACAGUUGAGUCGGCUUUUCUAAAGGAAGUUAUGCUUCAAAUGGGAUUUGCAAUAAAGUGGGUGACAUUAAUCAUGAAACCCAUUUCUACAGUCUCUUAUACAGUGAAUACCAAUGGGAGAAGAGGAAAUGUUUUUAAGCCCACUAGAGGACUUUGUUAGGGUGACCCGCUUAGCCCUUUUCUUUUUCUAAUAUGCAGUAAGGGACUCUCGUCUUUAAUAAGAAUGGCAAUAGCUGAGGGAUUGAUGAAGGGAGUGAAGGCUAGUAGAAGAAGACCAAAAAUAUCACACUUGCUGUUUGCAGAUGACUGUAUACUAUUUGGUGAAGUGAAAAAUAGAGGGGUAAGAAUUUUAAAAGAAAUUUUGAAAGAAUAUGAACAACGCUCAGGUCAAUGCGUGAAUUUUAGCAAAUCAACAAUUUUCUAUAACUCAAAUACAACAUAAAGAGACAAAGAAGAAAUCUUGAGGUUACUAGGUGUGAGAUGCUCCACAAAUUUGGAAAAAUAUCUAGGAGCUUUUUAGAAUCUCAAAGAUAAAGUUAAGUCGAAAAUUGAAAGUUGGAGUACAAGGUUAAUGUCACAAGGGGGAAAUGAGGUUUUUAUAAAAUCAGUUCUUUAAGCAAUUCCAACUUAUGCUAUGUCAUGUUUCCUCCUACCAAAAUCGUUAUGUGGGGAGUUAGAAAAUAUUUUUGCUAAAUUCUGGUGGCAAAAAGGACAGGGAAGGAAAGGGAUACACUGGUGUUAAUGGAAAUUUAUGUGUCGAUCAAAAGAGGAGGGGGAAUGGGCUUUAGAAAUCUGGCGCAAUUCAAUAUUUCAUUACUAGAUAAGCAAGGGUGGAGGAUUAUUACUAAUCAAAAUUCUUUGGUUAUGCGAGUAUUUAAAGCAAAAUAUUUCAUGAAUGAACAUUUUUUAAAUUCUCGAUUGGGGAAAACUAGUUCUUAUAUAUGGAAAAGGAUAUGGGCAGCGAAGGGUAUUUUGGAAAAAGGUAUAUGUUGGAGGGUUGGUACAGGUACAAAUAUUUCUAUCAAUGCUAAUGGGUGGAUUCCAAAUGCUGUUAAUUUUAAAUUAUCUUCAGUUGUUAAUUCUAUGCGUGAUGUCAAGGUCAGUGAGUUGAUCGACAGUAAUGAGAGAACAUGGAAAAGAGAACUUAUAAACAAUACCUUUCCAGAGGAAGAUGCUGGAAAAAUCCUCUAGAUACUUUUAGCACACACCUCACGAUGAUUUUCUUGUCUGAGGAGGUGAGUUUUCGGUCCGCAGUGCCUAUAAACUAUUACAAACUUUUGAUGAAAUUCAUAGACCUUACGCUUUACAAACUGACUACAGGAAUUUUUACAAAAAACUCUGGCUCCUAAAUCUACCAAAUAAAAUCAAGGUUACAGUAUGGAGAAUUUCAUGGUACUAUUUGCCUACGAGGGUUAAUAUGCAACACAGAAAGUUUGUCAAGCUGCCCUCGAUGUGGAGAAAGAGCUGAAAAAAUUAACCAUAUUUUUCGCGAAUGUCCUGUCACAGUGGAAGUUUGGGCACUAUUAAAAAUUCAGAAUAUUAUUCUGGAUCCUGACAUGGAUUUUUUACAGUGGAUUACCUGGAUUUUUGAUCAGCUUACUUCAUAUCAGAGCCUCCUCUUCUAUUCUGGACUUUGGGCUAUCUGGGGAGAGAGAAACAGAAGAAUACAUAGGCAGAAAAAUAGUACAGGUCAGGAAAUAGCAUAUUUCAUCAACAACUAUAUGGCUGAACUAAAUGGUUUAGAAAUGAGAAAUCCAGUAAAGGGGAAGGAGAUAAGAAGAUGGAGUUACCAACCUAGUGAGUUCGUAAAAAUUAAUUUUGAUGGUGCAUAUGAUGUGAAUCACCACCAAUCUGCCUCAGGGAUUGUUGUUAGAAACGAAGAAGGGGUUGUCUUACUUUCUUGCUCAAAGAUCCAUCAUGGGGUAACUUUCACAUUUGCAGCUGAAGUAAUCGUGCGUAGAAAAGCGGUCCAAGUAGGAGUGGAACAGGAAUGGUCGAAGGUUAUAAUAGAAGGAGACUCCCUCACAAUAAUCAAGAAAUGCGCAACAAAAAGUCAAGAUUGUUCACAUAGUGGAGCAUAUAUAUACGAUAUUCAACAGAAACUAAACAAAUCUAGAAGUUUCAUAUUCAAACAUAUACUAAGAUCUGCUAACGGAAACUCUAAAAAGAAAGGAAGAAAUGUACCUGGAACUGACGGUCCCAGGGUAUGCUAAAAAUCAACGAAGGAUUGACUGGAGACGAGAACCAGAUUGAGAAUGGAGGGGGAAUAAGAGAAAUGAGAGGAAAGUAAAGAAAAGCAGAAGAAUCAGUUUUUUGAAAUAACAAACUUUCCCAAAAACUGAACCAUCAAAAGGAAAAAUUCAAAAUGAUACUCAGAUGACAAGACAAUUUUUAGUAUUUUCUGACUGGGAAUUAAUU
This 5278-nucleotide long non-coding RNA is filed under the name Gossypium barbadense (sea-island cotton). RNAcentral's name for it is "long non-coding RNA (GBAR_LNC007096)". Lineage: Eukaryota; Viridiplantae; Streptophyta; Magnoliopsida; Malvales; Malvaceae. The record is from RNAcentral.